Molecule: long non-coding RNA, 524 nt
Filed under: Rattus norvegicus (Norway rat)
Lineage: Eukaryota; Metazoa; Chordata; Mammalia; Rodentia; Muridae
Description: long non-coding RNA NONRATT030628
Source: RNAcentral
AUUUUCUGUAUCCAUUCCUCUGUUGAAGGGCAUCUGGGUUCUUUCCAGCUUCUGGCUAUUAUAAAUAAGGCUGCGAUGAACAUAGUGGAGCAAGUGUCUUUUUUAUAUGUUGGGGCAUCUUUUGGGUAUAUGCCCAAGAGAGGUAUAGCUGGAUCCUCAGGCAGUUCAAUGUCCAAUUUUCUGAGGAACCUCCAGACUGAUUUCCAGAAUGGUUGUACCAGUCUGCAAUCCCACCAACAAUGGAGGAGUGUUCCUCUUUCUCCGAAUCCUCGCCAGCAUUUGCUGUCACCUGAGUUUUUGAUCUUAGCCAUUCUCACUGGUGUGAGGUGAAAUCUCAGGGUUGUUUUGAUUUGCAUUUCCCUUAUGACUAAAGAUGUUGAACAUUUCUUUAGGUGUUUCUCAGCCAUUCGGCAUUCCUCAGCUGUGAAUUCUUUGUUUAGCUCUGAACCCCAUUUUUUAAUAGGGUUAUUUGUCUCCCUGCGGUCUAACUUCUUGAGUUCUUUGUAUAUUUUGGAUAUAAGGCC